This is a long non-coding RNA of Rhipicephalus microplus (southern cattle tick), 1800 nucleotides long. Lineage: Eukaryota; Metazoa; Arthropoda; Arachnida; Ixodida; Ixodidae. The record is from RefSeq and is a predicted model, not a curated record.
GCCAGUGACGGGUUCGUGCCGAGCUCAACGCUGCUCGGGGAGGGGCCUGCAGCCUCAUUGGCCACGAGCACUGCAGAUCGCGGGCAAGGUGCCACCAACCUUCCAGCGUAUAGCAGAGAUCUUGACCUGGCUAACAGCCAGCAUUGCUGUUUCAACGCAAGCUGUCCACCGGGCUGGUUGAUCAGGCUUACAGUGUGCACUGCGGCUCAAAUACAGGCUUAUUGCUUCGCCGUCCGGACCAGACCACCGUGCGCCACCUUCGCUUCAGCGCUGCACACAGAGACGCUGCACACCCAUUCCUGGACGCCACUGUUUCUACGUCGGCGUGAAGGGAAGAAAUCUUUACAUGUCAGAAAGCAUUUAUCGUAGAUAUUUGUUUCCGUUUCACACGUUUCACUUCAAUUAAACGUGCGUUUUGCAGCUCAGGACUUCAAAAAUUAUAUCUAUAUACCAGCGGUUCACAAAUGGGGGCCCACGAAGCCAUAUUUGAAAGUGUGUAGUAGUGCCCCUGGUAAUAUUUGGCAAGCUUGGCCGCAUAACAUUCAUGUGCCGCGGCGUACCUGGCUUGCGUUUCCCCUUCUCCGCGAAAUGUCGGUAAACCCUUUGUUGCAGUUUUCUACAACGCAUGCACACGAGCACACUUUCUUUGCGCUCGUACAUAUCAAGAGAACAAAAAAAGCCAAAUACAUGCGGAUUAUGGCCGCAGAACCGACAAGAUUAGUGAUGUGUGGCGACCGGAACUACACGGACAGAGUCAAACAGGCGGAGCAGUUUCCGGCCAGGUCUGCUAGGCCAAUACCCCCGUCACACGUGGCAACUUAGGUGCACUUUGCGAGCGAGUGUACUUACGCUCACACAGUGUCAUUUCGGCGGUUCGCCUGCUACACGAGAAAACGAAGUGUACUCUAGAAACGAGGGCAGCGGCAAUUGUCUGUUUGUAGCGGAAUAUAUAUUUGUUACUUUCGCACCCGCGUCUCAUCGUCGGACCACCACGUUGUCUUCGUGGAAAUGGCACCAGUGGCACACGUCAUCAUAAACGACUAGAGAACGACCCGCCUACACAGGUGCAAGUGUGCCUGGACGUAAACAACGCGACGGACGCAGCCAUUGCACGGUAUGUGCUGCCCCCUAGCGGACGUGGCCGCAAACUGGCCGAGGGUAAGAGAAGCAAGGAUUUUUGUUAAUUUAUCACUUUUUUAAUACAUAUCGGUAUCCGUUAUAACGAAAACAAUAGUUCAAAAGUGGCAUGAGUGUCGUUUUAAGCAACAGACUAUUCUGUGCAAGCCACUGGCAUUGAGGCUACACACUUCGUCGCAGCGGAGUGAAUUAGAAGUGUGGCAGCUUGGGCUAGUUGGUAUGGCAUGACAAUAGUUAUAGCGCGAGAACAAAACGACGACCUUCUUGUCUUGUCGGUGUCCUUCUUGUCGGUGACCUUCUUGUGGGUGACCUUCUUGUCGGUGUCCUUCUUGUCGGUGUCCUUCUUGUCUCUGUGUCGUCGUUUUGUUCUGUGUCGUCUUUUGUUGAAGCGAAGUGAGGUUGGGGAACGCACUUGCCGGUAAGUGUACUUUGUAGCGAGUGACACUAAACGUGUGACAGCGCGCAAAAUGACCAUCGAGGCUAAGUGUACUCGCUCGAACUGCACCUAAGUUUCCACGUGUGACAGGGGUGUAACCCCACCUGCGAAAACAUACCACUACUACCAUCACCGCACAACUUAUUGAGAAGUUUUGUAGAUCGAACUGGCGUGGCACUUUAGUUUGACCAAUCUUCGAAAGAAAUAAAUAAAAGGCACCUAUCAUU